GUUGGCGAAAACUAUGACGAAAAAUGUUCGUUAACGAACCUUUUUUCCAUGACUAGGACGAGACUAAGACGAGACGAAAACAAUCUUAAAAAAAAUAAAAACUAUGACUAAAUCUAUUCUAACUUUCGUUAACGAGACGAGACGAACAUGUUGGUGGUUGACGAAGUCACAAUACCGUUUCCCCCUAAAUUCGCAUGCAGCUGACAGACAACAGACCGGCAGAUAUUAACGCGUCAUGGUGACGUCAUCCACGAACCCAGAACGCCCACAGCGGUGCCGCGGUGGUUCUUGUGCACCGACGACGAACUGAUCUGUCAUUGCUUAGGGUCUCAUGUACCAAAUGUAAAGGCAUGGUGAGCCCUACUCUAGAGAGGAUCCUUCAGAACCUAGAGAGGUAUGAAGCUGUGAAGCUAUGAAGCAGAACUCCUGUAGCAGAUUUCUGGAGUGGAAUCCACGUCUGCUACUGUGGCGCCCGGAUGAGCUCAGCUGACGAGCAACCCGUAAUCAGCAUUAAUGAGGUCAGAGGAGGCGCUCAGCGGUGAUGGGAUAAGGACGUGUUCACAGCAAAACAGAACUGCUGUAAUCCGUGCUCUCUCUGAGAGAUCACGUGAGACCCGAAGAUCCAGCGAGGAAGCUUCUGUCCCUCUCCUUUGCUGAUGGACCUCCGCCAGGAAGCAGCCCGCUUAGUUUACGACAAAAUAAAUCUUCCCCUUCACGAAAUGACUCUGUUUACUGAACAAAUGUGUCGCCGGGCAGACGAGACGAGAUGUGGUGACUCUGGAGAGGUCUAACAAAUAAUCAUCUCUGAACUCCUCUGAUGUGCCUUUAUUAAACGUGCUUCAGUGCACGAGUUAAAUGCUUCAAAGCGUCAUUUCAUUGAACGCGUUCACGGGUAAUUUGUUAAAUGUAUUUCUGGUGGUCAGUCAGGCUUCAAGGCAGGCCAUUCCACAGAGACUGCUCUCCUUGCUGUCUCAGAGCAACUCCACACUGCUAGAGACGCCUCUGUUCUCAUCCUUCUGGACCUCUCUGCUGCAUUUGACACAGUCAACCACCAGAUCCUUAUUUCCUCCCUUCAGGAACCUGGAGAGGAUCUGUGUUGGAACCUUUCAAUUCAAUUCAAUUCAUUUUAUUUUGUAUAGACCAAAAUCGCAAAUUACAAAUUUGCCUCAGAGGGCUUUACAGUCUGUACACAUAUGACAUCCUCUGUCCCGAAACCCACCAUCGGCACAGGAAAACCUCCCCAAAAAAUGAAAAAACCCUUCCAAGAGGGAAAAAAGGGAAGAAACCUUAGGGAGAACGUCAGAGGAGGGAUCCCACUCCCGGGAUGGACCGACUACAAUGGAUGCCAUGUGUACAGAAUGAACAAUAUAUAAUACAUUCAAUUCCUAUGACAAAAAUGAUUCAAGUAAUUGUGAGUAGUAAGCCAGGCGCACAGCAGGACCACUGCAGGGGCAACCACCAUCAGAUAGAACCACCAUCUACAGAAGCCUGUGGGGAGGGAGAGCACAGAGACUUAAGGAGAGGGUAAUGUUGGUUUAUGAGUACAGUAAUAUGAUUAAUAUCUAAAAUAAUAAUGAUGAUGAUGAUGAUGAUGAUGGCAGAACCUUGUCCUCUUACCACUCAGGGUUCCGCCCUGGGUCCCCUGCUCUUCUCGCUCUACGCCAACUCUCUCGGCGCUGUCAUUCGCUUGCAUGGCUUCUCCUACCACAGUUAUGCCGAUGUCAC
Long non-coding RNA from Gasterosteus aculeatus aculeatus (three-spined stickleback), 1725 nucleotides. Lineage: Eukaryota; Metazoa; Chordata; Actinopteri; Perciformes; Gasterosteidae. The record is from Ensembl.